This 502-nucleotide ribosomal RNA is filed under the name Liphistius phuketensis. RNAcentral describes it as "partial large subunit ribosomal RNA". It matches the Rfam family "Bacterial large subunit ribosomal RNA", at positions 1794 to 2625 of the family's 2925-position model. The record is from RNAcentral. Lineage: Eukaryota; Metazoa; Arthropoda; Arachnida; Araneae; Liphistiidae.
UGGCGCCUGUUUAUCAAAAACAUGGUUUUUUGUUAUUAUAAAAAAUCUGGUCUGCUCACUGCUAAAGUAAAUAGCCGCAGUAUAUUGACUGUGCUAAGGUAGCAUAAUCAUUUGUCUUUUGAUUGAAGGCUAGUAUGAAUGGCUUAACGAGAUAAAAUCUGUCUCCAGAGAAGAGUUUGAAUUUGAUUAUUUAGUAAGAAGGCUAAAAUAUUCCUGAGGGACGAUAAGACCCUAUUAAGCUUAAUUUUUGAAUUUUGCUGGGGCGGUAAUUUAAGAUUAAGAUCUUAAUAAGGAAGUUUAAACUAUUAGGACCCAAUAUUAUUGAGUGAUAGAUAAAGCUACUAUAGGGAUAACAGCUUAAUUUUUUUAAUGAGUUCUUAUUUUAAAAAAAGUUUGUGACCUCGAUGUUGAAUUAAGGAUUCUAUUUGGCGAAGUUGCUAAAUGAGAGAGUCUGUUCGACUUUUAAUACUUUACGUGAUCUGAGUUCAGACCGGCCAUGGAA